UACGGAGGGUGCGAGCGUUGUUCGGAAUUACUGGGCGUAAAGCGCGUGUAGGCGGCCCUGUAAGUCAGAUGUGAAAGCCCUCGGCUUAACCGGGGAAGUGCAUCUGAAACUGCUUGGCUUGAGUACCGGAGAGGGAGGCGGAAUUCCCAGUGUAGAGGUGAAAUUCGUAGAUAUUGGGAGGAACACCGGUGGCGAAAGCGGCCUCCUGGACGGAUACUGACGCUGAGACGCGAAAGCGUGGGGAGCAAAC
This 250-nucleotide ribosomal RNA is filed under the name uncultured bacterium. Its description in RNAcentral is "partial 16S ribosomal RNA". It matches the Rfam family "Bacterial small subunit ribosomal RNA", at positions 524 to 773 of the family's 1533-position model. The record is from RNAcentral.